CACAGUUUACAUCCGUCAUAUGUAAAUUUCUUCAGUUUCAUGCGGAUUGAAACUUCGAAGGUCAGGAAAACCAUAUAUUAGCUAUGAAUCGCCAUGCAAAUAUGGGAUUCACAAUUUACAUACAUCUAGCCUAUGUAAAUCCUGAAGUUUCAUGCAGAGUGAAACUUCAAACCAGGCGACUGGUUGGUGUGGAGCAAAAAAAUUUGUCGGGUAUGAAUCGCCAUGCAGAAAUGGGAUUUAGAAGUUUCAUGUGGAUUGAGACUUCAAACCAGGCAACUGGUUUAUGCCGAUAAAACAUCCUUCGGGUACCACUCUCUUCUGAGAGGAAGGUUUGUUUUGUAUCCAGAAGAUUUGUCGUGUUCGUGCAACAGAACAGAUGUGUUCCAGAAUAUUUCAGAC
RNAcentral lists this long non-coding RNA (399 nucleotides) under Mytilus galloprovincialis (Mediterranean mussel). The record is from RNAcentral. Lineage: Eukaryota; Metazoa; Mollusca; Bivalvia; Mytilida; Mytilidae.